CUGGUGGAGUCGGAGUAGAAGUCCAAUUACGGUGGUGCUCGCCGGAAAAAAGACAAAAAUAUAUAAUUAUGAAAGAGAACUCCGUCUCUACCUGACUCUGAAGAUUAUAUGAUACUACAGAAUCGGCACAAUGAGAGGAAAAGGAAAUCAGAAUCAGGACGAGGAAGAGUACGAGGAGGAGUUUGGUUCCAGAAAAGAAGGAGCCUGUUCGAAUGUCAUUAACAACAACAUAACUCUAAAGAUGGGAAGAAUAUUGAUAAGGCUAAUGCAAUAAGAUCGAAGCAUUCAGUCACUGAGCAGCGAAGAAGGAGUAAGAUCAAUGAGAGAUUUCAGAUAUUGAG
Molecule: unclassified non-coding RNA, 341 nt
Filed under: Hevea brasiliensis (rubber tree)
Lineage: Eukaryota; Viridiplantae; Streptophyta; Magnoliopsida; Malpighiales; Euphorbiaceae
Source: RNAcentral